UACAGGGGGGGCAAGCGUUGUUCGGAAUUACUGGGCGUAAAGGGCUUGUAGGUGGCCAAUUAAGUCAGACGUGAAAUCCCUCAGCUUAACUGGGGAACUGCGUCUGAUACUGGAUGGCUUGAGUUUGGGAGAGGGAUGCGGAAUUCCAGGUGUAGCGGUGAAAUGCGUAGAUAUCGUAAGGAAGACCAGUGGCGAAGGCGGGUCUCUGGACAGUUCCUGACACUGAGGCACGAAGGCCAGGGGAGCAAACGGG
This 253-nucleotide ribosomal RNA is filed under the name uncultured bacterium. RNAcentral's name for it is "partial 16S ribosomal RNA". It matches the Rfam family "Bacterial small subunit ribosomal RNA", at positions 524 to 776 of the family's 1533-position model. The record is from RNAcentral.